UGGGGAAUAUUGGACAAUGGGGGGCAACCCUGAUCCAGCAAUGCCGCGUGUGUGAAGAAGGUCUUCGGAUUGUAAAGCACUUUCGACGGGGACGAUGAUGACGGUACCCGUAGAAGAAGCCCCGGCUAACUUCGUGCCAGCAGCCGCGGUAAUACGAAGGGGGCUAGCGUUGCUCGGAAUGACUGGGCGUAAAGGGCGUGUAGGCGGUUUACACAGUCAGAUGUGAAAUCCCCGGGCUUAACCUGGGAGCUGCAUUUGAUACGUGUAGACUAGAGUGUGAGAGAGGGUUUGUGGAAUUCCCAGUGUAGAGGUGAAAUUCGUAG
Molecule: ribosomal RNA, 323 nt
Filed under: uncultured bacterium
Lineage: Bacteria
Description: partial 16S ribosomal RNA
Rfam family: Bacterial small subunit ribosomal RNA
Source: RNAcentral